AGAUAUGGGUCUCUCCACCUAUUG
Molecule: non-coding RNA, 24 nt
Filed under: Arabidopsis thaliana (thale cress)
Lineage: Eukaryota; Viridiplantae; Streptophyta; Magnoliopsida; Brassicales; Brassicaceae
Source: RNAcentral